GAUGAACGCUGGCGGCGUGCCUAAUACAUGCAAGUCGAGCGAACAGACGAUGCGCUUGCUCCUCUGACGUUAGCGGCGGACGGGUGAGUAACACGUGGAUAACCUACCUAUCAGACUGGGAUAACUUCGGGACACCGGAGCUAAUACCGGAUAAUAUAUUGCACCGCAUGGUUCAAUAGUGAAAUACGGUUUUGCUGUCACUUAUAGAUGGAUCCGCGCCGCAUUAGCUAGUUGUUAAGUUAACGGCUUACCAAGGCAACGAGGCGUAGCCGACCGGAGAGGGGGAUAGGCGACCCGGGAACGGAGACGCGGACCAGACGCCUGCGGGAGGCAGCAGUAGGGAAUCGUCGGCAAUGGGCGAAAGCUUGACGGAGCAACGCCGAGUGAGUGAUGAAGGUCUUGGGAGCGUAAAACUCGGUUAUUAGGGAAAAACAAAUGUGUAAGUAAAUAUGCACGGCGUGACGGUACCGAAUAAGAAAGCAACGGCUAACUACGUG
Molecule: ribosomal RNA, 497 nt
Filed under: uncultured bacterium
Lineage: Bacteria
Description: partial 16S ribosomal RNA
Rfam family: Bacterial small subunit ribosomal RNA
Source: RNAcentral